AGUGAACGCUGGCGGUAGGCCUAACACAUGCAAGUCUAACGGCAGCACAGUAAGAGCUUGCUCUUACGGGUGGCGAGUGGCGGACGAGUGAGGAAUACAUCGGAAUCUACUUUUUCGUGGGGGAUAACGUAGGGAAACUUACGCUAAUACCGCAUACGACCUACUGGUGAAAGCAGGGGAUCUUCGGACCUUGCGCGAUUGAAUGAGCCGAUGUCGGAUUAGCUAGUUGGCGGGGUAAAGGCCCACCAAGGCGACGAUCCGUAGCUGGUCUGAGAGGAUGAUCAGCCACACUGGAACUGAGACACGGUCCAGACUCCUACGGGAGGCAGCAGUGGGGAAUAUUGGACAAUGGGCGCAAGCCUGAUCCAGCCAUACCGCGUGGGUGAAGAAGGCCUUCGGGUUGUAAAGCCCUUUUGUUGGGAAAGAAAAGCAGCAGGUUAAUACCCCGCUGUUCUGACGGUACCCAAAGAAUAAGCACCGGCUAACUUCGUG
RNAcentral lists this ribosomal RNA (492 nucleotides) under uncultured bacterium. Its description in RNAcentral is "partial 16S ribosomal RNA". It matches the Rfam family "Bacterial small subunit ribosomal RNA", at positions 29 to 507 of the family's 1533-position model. The record is from RNAcentral.